Molecule: ribosomal RNA, 497 nt
Filed under: uncultured bacterium
Lineage: Bacteria
Description: partial 16S ribosomal RNA
Rfam family: Bacterial small subunit ribosomal RNA
Source: RNAcentral
GACGAACGCUGGCGGCGUGCCUAAUACAUGCAAGUAGAACGCUGAAGAGAGGAGCUUGCUCUUCUUGGAUGAGUUGCGAACGGGUGAGUAACGCGUAGGUAACCUGCCUGGUAGCGGGGGAUAACUAUUGGAAACGAUAGCUAAUACCGCAUGAAAUUGCUUAUCGCAUGAUAAUUGAUUGAAAGAUGCAAUUGCAUCACUACCAGAUGGACCUGCGUUGUAUUAGCUAGUUGGUGAGGUAACGGCUCACCAAGGCGACGAUACAUAGCCGGCCUGAGAGGGUGAUCGGCCACACUGGGACUGAGACACGGCCCAGAAUCCUACGGGAGGCAGCAGUAGGGAAUCUUCGGCAAUAGGGGGAAACCUGACCGAGCAACGCCGCGUGAGUGAAGAAGGUUUUCGGAUCGUAAAGCUCUGUUGUAAGAGAAGAACGGGUGUGAGAGUGGAAAGUUCACACUGUGACGGUAUCUUACCAGAAAGGGACGGCUAACUACGUG